This 271-nucleotide long non-coding RNA is filed under the name Homo sapiens (human). RNAcentral's name for it is "HSALNT0058870". The record is from RNAcentral. Lineage: Eukaryota; Metazoa; Chordata; Mammalia; Primates; Hominidae.
CUGAAAUAUUUAUUCCGUCAACCCCCUCUCCCAUCCUCUGUGGAUUUUACUCAGAGCCAGGGAAGUUCUGGGUUUCUUUGCAUUAACAAAGUUAUGAUGUUUUGUGGAAUGAAAAAUGGAGCAAUUCGAGUCUAUGUCCUAAAUCAAAAUGAUCCUUCAUUGACCAGUUUGGUGGACUACUGGCACUUCAAUAUGCAUGACAAUAAUUAUGGAUGUAUUAAAAGUAUUGCUAAUAGCUUUGAUGAUCGUUUCUUGGUGACUGCUGGAGCAG